Molecule: ribosomal RNA, 406 nt
Filed under: uncultured bacterium
Lineage: Bacteria
Description: partial 16S ribosomal RNA
Rfam family: Bacterial small subunit ribosomal RNA
Source: RNAcentral
AUUGAACGCUGGCGGCAGGCCUAACACAUGCAAGUCGAACGAGUGGCGGACGGGUGAGUCAUGUCUUGGCAACUGCCUGAUGGAGGGGGAUAACUACUGGAAACGGUAGCUAAUAGCGCAUACCAUCAGAUGUGCCCAGGUGGGAUUAGCUAGUUGGUGGGGUAACGGCUAACAAAGGCGACGAUCCCUAGCUGGUCCGAGAGGAUGACCGGCCACACGGGGACUGAGACACGGUCCAGAGUCCUACGGGAGGCAGCAGUGGGGAAUAUUACACAAUGGACGAAAGCCUGAUGGAGCAAAGCCGCGUGAGUGAAGAAGGCUUUCGGGUAGUAAAGCUCUUUCGGCAGAGAAGCGUUACCGGAAGAGAAAGCACCGGCUAACUCCGUGCCAGCAGCCGCGGUAAUUC